GUUUUUCGCUUCGAGAUGAGCUCGCGUGAGAUUAGCUAGUUGGCGAGGUAAUGGCUCACCAAGGCAACGAUCUCUAACUGGUCUGAGAGGAUGAUCAGUCACACUGGAACUGAGACACGGUCCAGACUCCUACGGGAGGCAGCAGUAGGGAAUAUUGCACAAUGGAGGAAACUCUGAUGCAGCGACGCCGCGUGAGUGAUGAAGGACUUCGGUUCGUAAAGCUCUGUCGUAUGGGAAUAAGAAAGUG
Molecule: ribosomal RNA, 247 nt
Filed under: uncultured Bdellovibrio sp.
Lineage: Bacteria; Pseudomonadati; Bdellovibrionota; Bdellovibrionia; Bdellovibrionales; Pseudobdellovibrionaceae
Description: partial 16S ribosomal RNA
Rfam family: Bacterial small subunit ribosomal RNA
Source: RNAcentral